ACGUGUGUGUGCAUGCAUGUGCGUGCGCGCACACACACACACACACACACACACACACACACACACACACACACACACAUUU
Molecule: microRNA precursor, 82 nt
Filed under: Echinops telfairi (small Madagascar hedgehog)
Lineage: Eukaryota; Metazoa; Chordata; Mammalia; Afrosoricida; Tenrecidae
Description: miRNA (ENSETEG00000023691.1)
Source: RNAcentral